RNAcentral lists this long non-coding RNA (2416 nucleotides) under Capra hircus (goat). RNAcentral describes it as "lncRNA (ENSCHIG00000007500.1)". Lineage: Eukaryota; Metazoa; Chordata; Mammalia; Artiodactyla; Bovidae. The record is from RNAcentral.
ACACUCCAGGAGGGGUGACUGCUGGCCCGGGAGGAAGGUUACCCUUAGCAACGGAGACAGGACAUCCAUGCAGAGCAGCACAGCCUGGUGGGAAGGGCAAAGGGCUUGGGGUUACACUGUCCUGGGUGUGAAUUCCAGCCCCUCGACUCUCCAGCUGGGUGACCUUGGGGAAGACACCACACCUUCCUGGGCUACCUGUUUCUCAGAUGCAAGAUGAGGGAGAAUAAUUCCAUUCCCCAUGUAGAUCAAACAGCUGAAGAAACUCCCUGCCUCUGUAAGCCUCUGCCAAACGGCGGUCCCCAGGGAAGCCAGGCAUCAGCUCUGGAGUUGGGGCUCAGGCGUGGGCAGGCUUGCCAGAGGUGGCAAAGAAAUGGUGCCAAACCACCUCACUGCCAAGAGCUGAGGCUGCUUGGAAAGCACCAUCACCUGGCCAUGGGGAGCCCUGUCAGCAACCUUCUUUGUGUCAACCAGCAGGCGAUGCUCGCCUUGGAACAAUAUUGUCAACUGGACCAGCCCACAUCAACUUCACCUGAAAUGCAGAUCUCGGGCCCUACCUUUGACUUGCCACUGAAUCGGAAAGUCUGGAGGGGGCCAAGCAAGCCCUCCAGGAGAGUCUGCUGCACCAUGAGAGUAGCUGCUGAGAGCAAUACCCGGGACAAGGCUGAUGAAGGCGUUGGCACAGAGAGGUGGUGGGGACUCCAUGUCCCUUCUUGUAUGCUGCGAUGAAGCCGUGGGUUUGGUUCUGAUGGCAAGAUGCUGGCCGGAAAGGAGUGUGUGAUCCGGGGUCUGUAACCGCAAAUGCCGGCAGACAUACAGAUCUGCAGAGUGCCCUCCCUUCCCAAGGCAUCUUCGAGCUUCAGGGAAGGAAACAGCCCCUGGGGCAGGCCCUACCUGAGGGAAUGCUGGAAGCUCCAGUCCGAGAAGGAAACAGCCCAGGGUUCCAAGCAGCCUGGGAGGAAGCCUUGGGAAGGAAGGGCAGCAAGCUGCUUGAGAAUCGGCACAGGGUGAUCUGAGCUCCUUUUGCGUUCCGCCUGUUUCUCAUCACUAGACCUUUCUCUUAGAGAGAAGUGGAUUGCCUCUUUACUACCCGUAAGGAGGGUUAGGGCCCAGAGCUGAGCAGGUAAUGGACACCUACACCUGGGAGAGAGAGAGAGAGAGGGAGAGAGAGAGAGAGGCAAGGACUGGCAGUUCCUACUGGGGGUCAGAGAUCUGGGGAGAAGCCUGGGUGAAGACAGAGGCAGAGAUGAGGAUGAUGCAGUCACAAGGAAAGGCACGCCAUGGGAAGUGAAAGAGCAUGGAAGUUUUCUCCUAGAGCUGUCGGAAGGCACAGGUUCUGCUGAUGCCCUGACCUUGGACUUCUCACCGCUAGAGCUGUGAGAGAUGAGCUUUCUGUGGUUUGAAGCCCUCUGUCUGUGGUCCUUGGCUAUGUCAUCCCUGGGAAGUGAAUACAGAAUUUGUUUAUAGUCCCACCAGGAAUGUUCUGAAGAGGGUAUGUUCCUCCCCAUUACCCAGAUGAGAAGGCUGAGGGUCAGAAAGGUGAAGUGCUUCUCCGAGCGUCGCUCAGCGCCCAGGGGCCACCAGGAUCCCAGACCAGAUGUGUCUGCACCCAAAGAGUGUGUGUUCCCUGCGCAGCUUUGCUGCAGGCAAAUGCCCACCCGUGGGCUUGACUGGGACUUCUUUCCCUUUGCUCCUGUCUUGGGCUCCCCGUGGGACAGGUGCUAACACCUCUGACCCCAGGACCCUCUUCCUUCUCACUCUCCCCCUCCCUGCUCCCCUGGACCUGGUUCAGGGGUCCUUUCACACUUUCCUGUCUCCUGGUUGAAUAACCUGGAAACUCAGUCCUGAGCCACUCCCAUCCUCUAGAUGGCUGAGCCCCCACUACUCCGAGGGUGGUCGCCAAGCAGCAGGGGCAGCCUCACUGGGGAUGGUCAGCAAUGUCUAGAGCACCGCCAAGACAGAAUUUGCCUUUUUACAAGCCUGAUCGGCACUUGCGUCUGCAAACUGGAGUUUGGGUCUAUGUAGCCUUUGGCUCCCUGCCCCUGGGGUGUCUGUCCAGACCCUUGACUCAGGAAGGGCCGUGUUGGGCAAGUCACAGGGAGUGCAGGCUUUGUCAUCUCAAACCAGAGCUUGAUGUGACUGCUGGCUCUGCAGCUGGUCAACUGUGUGACUUUGGGCCGAUUUCUCGGCCUCUCUAAGUCACAUGUCGACAUUGGUGGAUUAAUGAACCAGGCUCCUUCACAGUGCAGGAGCCCACAGAACCGCACUCAGUGAGCUUACCCAGGUGACAGCUAAGUGCCCCUAAGUGGGGACUUUGUGGGGACAGGAGCUGAGCUGGAGAAGUUCCUGCGGCUUCUGGGGAGAUGGUUUCUAGUUCCCCUGACCAUCAUCACACUGCCACCCCCAUUGCACAUUCUCC